GCUGGGCGUUGUGGCGAGCGCCUGUAGUCCCAGCUACUUGGGGAGGCUGAGGCAGAAGAAUCGCCUAAGCCCAGGAGUUGGAGGUUGCUGUGAGCUAUGACUUCACAGCACUCUACCAAGGGCAAUAAAGUGAGACUCUGUCUCUA
Molecule: non-coding RNA, 146 nt
Filed under: Otolemur garnettii (small-eared galago)
Lineage: Eukaryota; Metazoa; Chordata; Mammalia; Primates; Galagidae
Source: Rfam by way of RNAcentral